UACGGAGGGAGCUAGCGUUGUUCGGAAUUACUGGGCGUAAAGCGCGCGUAGGCGGCUUUGUAAGUUAGAGGUGAAAGCCCGGGGCUCAACUCCGGAAUUGCCUUUAAGACUGCAUCGCUAGAAUUGUGGAGAGGUAAGUGGAAUUCCGAGUGUGGAGGUGAAAUUCGUAGAUAUUCGGAAGAACACCAGUGGCGAAGGCGACUUACUGGACACAUAUUGACGCUGAGGUGCGAAAGCGUGGGGAGCAAACAGG
RNAcentral lists this ribosomal RNA (253 nucleotides) under uncultured bacterium. Its description in RNAcentral is "partial 16S ribosomal RNA". It matches the Rfam family "Bacterial small subunit ribosomal RNA", at positions 524 to 776 of the family's 1533-position model. The record is from RNAcentral.